This 396-nucleotide ribosomal RNA is filed under the name uncultured bacterium. Its description in RNAcentral is "partial 16S ribosomal RNA". It matches the Rfam family "Bacterial small subunit ribosomal RNA", at positions 338 to 730 of the family's 1533-position model. The record is from RNAcentral.
CCUACGGGAGGCAGCAGUGAGGAAUAUUGGUCAAUGGCCGGAAGGCUGAACCAGCCAAGCCGCGUGAGGGAGGAAGGCGCCGAGCGUCGCAGACCUCUUUUGCCGGGGGACAAAAGGCCGCACGGGUCCGGUUCUGAGUGUACCCGAAGAAAAAGCAUCGGCUAACUCCGUGCCAGCAGCCGCGGUAAUACGGAGGAUGCAAGCGUUAUCCGGAUUUAUUGGGUUUAAAGGGUGCGUAGGCUGUGAGGUAAGUCAGCGGUGAAAUGCCCCGGCUCAACGGGGCGAAGUGCCAUUGAUACUGUCGUGCUGGAAUGCGCAUGCCGUAGGAGGAAUGCGUGGUGUAGCGGUGAAAUGCAUAGAUAUCGCACAGAACACCGAUUGCGAAGGCAGCUUACG